CGGGCAAGGAAGGUCGCGUGCCGGCCGGCCCCGCGGCGCAUGCGCGGGAGGCCUGCUUCCGCCGCGCGAGGGGCGGGGUGGGGGCAGCGCGGAGGUGGCGCUCCCGCCCGGGGGCGGCGGCACGUCGGGGCCUCGCGCUGCGGGGGCGGCGCCUCGGCACGGCCGGGCCUGCCCGGGCCUCCGUCCCCUUCACACCACCCCCCCACCACGUUCCGUGUGAGGGUUUCAGGCUGCCGGCGGGGGGAAACGGGCGUCCUGCCUCCCUGUGGCGGCUUGUCGGUGCCUCUCGGGGACCCGCCGGUGCUUCCCGGCGCCGUGCCUCUGCCGGGGCGGGGCGGGGGAGGGGGGGCUUAGUCCUUGGGGCCGCAGCCGUGCUGCUCAAAGUUAGCGAGAGCUUCCUCCUGCCGGCGCACAGGCUCGGCCCCCGGUCGGAAGUUUUUUUGUUUGUUUGUUUUUUCAGGGCUGACUCGGGCGUCCGGUAACACCACCUGACGGGCUCGCUGUGCUCGCACCCCUGUUCACAAGCUUUGCGGGCGUAGCUGCUGGCUCCUGAGGGGCCCAGCGAUGCCUUUAGUUAACCCCCCGAGCUGUGCAGACCAGAACGCCGCCUUGUCGGUGUGGUGGGUUUUGCUCAAGACUGGAGGAAAAUUUGAAGCUGCGUCUCCAGGAGGAGGAUUGUCGAUAGACUGGCAAAGCUGGUUUUAGCAGAAACAGCGUUUGGGUUCUGCUCUGGUUGUUCCUUAAGUUUAAUGUAUUUUGUUGCUGUAUCUUGCGUUAGGACAUUGAAGUUUCAGUUGUAGGUCGAAUAGUACCGGAAAUUAGGUGACUAUCUUUUUGUAGCUUUAAUGUGUGUAAGGCAUCUGCCAUUAUUCUAGGAAGUUUGAGGGGCAUAAUAUAAUGCGGUAAGGUCCCAUUAGAAGCUUGUCAAAUGACUAUCAUGACUUGUGCCAUAUAAAGAAUUUUUCAGAGAGAAGAAGCAAUCCUGUGGAUUUUAGAAAACCUGUGACAAGCGUACCGCUGAUUUAUUUUUAGCUAGCUUCUCCAGUCCUAAAAAAUUGAAGCCUUCCACAAAAAAGGAAAGUAUUUUUCUAUCUUUUAGAAUUUUAUGAGUUUUUUAUUACCAACUAAUUAAAUGUGUUUCAGAUUCUCACAAAAGACUAGAAUCAAAUCAAGUGUGUUUCAUUCCUGCUAAACAAAUUAGUACAAAUGUAAGGCAAGAAGCCAGAUCUUAGAUUUGCAGAAGUCUUGGAGAUAACAGCCCUCUUAUGUUUAAUGUAGUUUUUCUUCUGUGUGGGGUGGGUUGGUUGGUUUGUUUGUGUGUUUUUUUUACAUAGUUUCAACAGAAAGAGGAAGAAUUGUCUGCAUUUUCUUACCUUGUUUUAUUUUCUUGUUUUAUCUUUCAUAUCUUGUUUUAUUUUUCUUUCUCCAGCAUUUGCCAUCCCGGGUUUAAAUAGAGUCGUAGGAGGGAGUACUUGUGGAAUUUUGCUGUCACAUCAGAAGGAUUCCACUUGCAUUUAGCAGCUGCUGCAAUUUUACUGCCUCUUGUUGGAGGUCACCAAACCCACGGCAGAACUGGCAUCUCCCCAUCUGUUUGAUGGCAAAGUAUGACAUCUUCGUUCAACCCCCACCCUGCACUGGUGUUUUAAACUGAGAUACUGACUUUGCAUUUGAAGUAGCUGACAAAUGAACGUGUCCUCUUCUGCUGGCCCUGCUAUAGCAAUGGUUACUUCUGUCAGAUGAGUAAAGCAAAUGGCCAGAGUCAGCAGUAUCUUACAGUGAAGCUUGAUGUGUUUGUUAAAAUUUAAACUAUGAUUUUUGUAGGAAAAAAACCCCAAAUCUCUAGUUUAAAUACAGGUUUAUAAUGCCCUCCCUAGGAUGUUGUAUGUACUGUUUCUGCUCUCUCCUUUCCUUACCCAGUUCUGUUCUUCAGCACAUCUCCUUUCCCCAGCCUGUCCUUUUUCAUACUGCUGUUCUUUCGCCCUUCUCUGUCAUUGGCACCUGGGCAUAUUCUUACAUGUUUCUUCUUGCCUAGGCAUGUUCUUGCUCUUUCAUGUGAGUUAGGUCACUCCGUUUCUGUCCUCAGCACUCCUGGAUGAUGGCAAGAAAGAGCCCAGAGCAUGGUAGGGCAUUUCUUCUCUCUUGCCCAAUUUAAAAAAAAAAACAACACUAUUUGUAAGUUUUGUUCAGCAGAGAGGACUUUUCGGUGAUCUUGCUGUUAGCCUCUUAACAACAUAUGACUUCAGAGUUUUCUGACACUGAAUGCUAUUAGGGCAGUAAAAAUGCACUCUUAACCUCAGAUGGAUAUACAGAAAAGUUCAAAUCACUGUUCAAAAGCACUGGAGCUUUCUAAUUAAACAUGUCUAGUAUUUCUUCUUUUGGCAAAAUAAUAUGCUGCUUGGGUCUUGUCCUCAUAGGUUGCACUCCUUUUGCUUUGACUCAAAGUAAGGAUGUAACGGUUACUAAAAGUUUUGCUGUCUACUCCCCCUGCGCCCCCAUACUGUCACAAAGCGUUAAACGGGAAAUUUAGAUAUCCUUUAUAAGAGAAAAACCCUUCAAUUAUCUUGCCCUCCUCCUACAACAAACAUACUAGACUUACUUUUCAAGAUGUGGCCUAAAUGUUUUUAAGGCAACAAGAAAGGAUGGGUUUGUGGUUGAGGCAGAUGACUUGCAUUAAGCUUUAAAUUCUGGUACUGGCAAAUUCUGCUAGUCAUUUAGGAUUAAAACUCAUAAAGGAUUAGACGUUUGCCUGCUUGGUUCUGCUGAUUGCCCACCCAGAAUUGCAGUCUAGAGCCCCAGGUGAGUUUUGGGAUCCAGAAGGGAUCCUGGCAGGAGAGCCCUUGUUGACUAUUAGCUGAUAUUCUCAUCUGGGUCUCUCCAAGAUCCAUUUUAGCUCUGCUGCUCUCAAGUUCUACAUGGUGGCUGAUAAAACUUGCUGUAGCAGGCUUGUCUUGUCAGCUGUGCUUAUUGCCUGGACCCAGCGUAUGCCCUGUCACUGCAGGUGUUACAUGUGUGUGGCUGGGCCUAGAAGUUAGCCUUCUUAACAGAAACUGGUUUUUUUGAAACUCUAGGCUUGAGAUUUAGCUGGAAGAUGUAACUCGGUGUUACCUUUGGCUUAGGUUCCCUGAAGCUGACAAACAGGAAUUGAAUGAGAGGUAAUAAUUCUUUAAUUAUAAAUCUUUGAAGUAUUUUGCAAUCCAGAUAAGACGACUUACCUGAUGGAUGUGUUGCCUCCGUUCAGCUAAAUGUUAAUAGAACUACCAAAUAGGAAAAAGAGCGAAAUUUACACAGUAUUUUCCACUAACAGCAAUUGAUUACUAUUUUAGACUACACAGGUACGUGUUUUCUAAAUGUAAGUUCUACCAAAGUUAAAUAAAGAUCCUUUGUAACUUAAAGCUCUAAGCAGAUACAAGAUUUUUCUUUUGUGCCAAUGGUAUUAUGAUUUGUGAAUGCAAUUGUUUUUUUUUUUUUUGGUCUAGGCUCUCAGGGAAAUAGGGAAGUUAUCGAAAUGUGUUCAGACUUCAAUACAUUUCAUCUCUGUUGCCUAGGAAUUACGACUUUUUGAUACACGAUGGAUUGCACUAAACUGCUUGAAAUUAUGCAAACCCAGCUUUGUAGUUAGCCACAGGAAGUAUUUUUAAAUUGUAUCUGAAAAGUUCUAAUAUUGAAGAUAAAUAUUUUUUUUUUUGUAAAUUAACGCAGCUGAUAGUUGAUUUAAAAAAGGAAGUUUUAUUGUUCAGAAUACACACGCUGUGUUUCUGAGUUCAGGAACUGCAUGAUCUUUUUCACAUCUCAGUGUUUCCCUUUUCUGUUUAGCUACAGAGCAAUGCCAUGUGCUAAAAUUGCAUUGUGAAAGCUAAAACCUUGAUGGUCUGUGUUAAAGAGAUAAGGAAGAACAUGUACCUUUUGAAGGGGAGUGCCGGUUUCUUUAAACUGAGUGCCUAGCUGAUAACACUGUUUGCUUUUGGUAGCCUACUUGGUCCAGAUAGGCUUUUCAGUGCUAGAUAAUCUUUUGAGCAGAGCCAAUCCCAAUUUCUGAGUAAUUUGUUUAAUAAAUAGAAAAAAGGAAAAAAACCCUACAUCAAGACCUCGGAGCUCUGUAUUUUGAAUCUAUUUGCAUGUGGGCAAAAGCAGUUUUGCUUUCUUGUUUUUGGGGCUGCUUGAUGAGUAUUCUUCACUCAUACAAAGGACCGUAUGUCUGUUUCCUUUACUGAACUUGUGAAGGAGAAGUCACUUUGGCAACAAACAAGGAAAGAAGUGUCAUUCUCAGGCAGUCAUAACAGGAGAAAGGUAAUAGUUAGUUACUUCAUAAUGUGCCUGAAGCAAACAAAGCAACAGGUUUGUGUGGUGGGAUUGUUUUCUUCAAGGCCAAGUGCAGCUGAGGGAAUGAGAAGGUGCUGAGGUGAGUUUGGUCAGGAUUAUUGCAGCACUUUUCCCCUCAUAUCUCCUCAAGAGUAUACUCUGUCUCCCCCUCCUCAGUCUAAGAACUGGCUAAGUGGUGAGCCUUGGGAGAUGCUAUCAGCGUUGGAAAGAUGGAUGGGCAGAGGAAGGGGUCCUGAAGCGGGAUCUGGAGCUGGGUGCGGAGCUGCUCUGGGAAGGCUCUGUCUGGAGGAGAGGGACACUGCAGUGCAGGAGCUGGGGGAGUCUGUGCCUGGCUGUCACCAGCUGCCCUGCGGGACAGGCUCAACUGCUCUGGGUCUCCUGCUGGUUCUCGUCUCUCACCCUUUCUUCCUUCCCUGAGAGUGAGCUUUGUGCUGCUCCAUCCCUGUCCCUAAUACAGCCACCUCCUCUGCUCCGUUUCACUGGCCGCCUCUGCCAGAUGCAGUCCACCCCCCUCGCUUAGAAACCGCAAAAUUAAGGUAUUGUGAAAAGCAGAUUAGUGUUUCUUUCUCCCCCUGCAGUUUACUAGCUAGAAUCAGCAUUGCUUAACUCUGAGGCUUGCUCCCUUCAUCAGUAGCUACAGUAUUUCUUCCUUAAGAGCCAAAGUACUUCAAGCAAAAACAUUUGAGUAUCAUGCUGCUGUUCCUGAGUGUCCCUGAAGUGCCACACAGUGACUGGUAAGUGUUGUAUACUUGACGAAACAGAGUUAUUACCAUAUUUCUAUGCAAACACCUAGAUUAUGACAAAUUGUAGACUGUUAAAGAUGGAGAAUUGUGGGGAGAAAAAAAAGAGACCAGAAGGAAGCAUGGUAAGUGUCCUAGUCCAUUCUUUCCCCAAGUGAGAACACUAUCAUCCCGACCGAGUUUUUUCAAGCUUUUUCGUAGAAAUCCUCCAAGGAUGGCAGCACAGUAAUCUCUAAGGCAGUCUAUUCUGGGGCCUUACUUUCCUUAACUUGGAAAUUAUUUUCCUAAUAUCUGACCCAAGUUCCCAUUUUUGCAGUUCCUUCUUGUUGUAUCCCCAGUGGAAGCGCAGAAUGUUGUUUUUCUUUGCUUUUCUUUUUUUUUCCCCUGACUACUUUUCUCCUAACAAAGCCAUGUCUCUCUUGCAGGGUAUGCAUUGGAAAGUGUUCAUACUGGUCUUGUGGUGCUGGCUCAGUGAGUGGGUCAGAAUGGAGUGAGCUCUGGCACAAACAGGUAGUCUGUUUUGGAUGGGUAUUGCUGAAUUAGCACGUAUACGUGAUAGUGAUUUUUGCGCCAGUACGUGCCAGUCUGCCUGCCGCUCCCUGUUCCAGAGCAAGCUCCUAUUGCUCUGCCACGUGCACACUGCGUGCAUGAUGGGGUGCCAGCCCUUUUGUGUUGUGGGGGUUUUGUGUGUAUAUUCCCUUUGCAAAAGACUGAUGGUAGUAGCAUAAGUGUGUUGCCUGAGAGAAAAUGUGGACCUUCACUGGACCAGCUGCAGUUCAUUCAUUUGCCAGGAGAACUGGAAGGACCAAAUUGCAAAGGAUGCUUUGGCCAGUUUCUUUUAUGUAAAGUCCUUUAGCAGUUCACUAUGACUUCAGAUUGCCUGAAUGCAGGACAUAUUUCUGUGUUUCUUACUCCAUGGAUGAUGCUUUUCCCCUAAACUUUUCUCACAGGUCUCAGUCCGGGCCCUUUAACCAUUUUAUCGUAGUCCUGCUGCCUUUGAAUCAGUGGCCUGGCAUCUUCUAACCCAGUGCUGAAACCCUGCUGGUUCUGAAAUGUCAGCCUGCAGUUCCUCUAGCGCAGCCCUGCAGGCCCUGGCAGCCUGUAACUAAUUACCUCAAUUCACAUGGUGGGCCAAUGAAAAGUGCAAGGACUGUUUGAAAAUGAAGUACAAAGAGGAAAAACAAAAGGCAAAAGGAAACUGAAGUAGAAUAUGAUUCACAGACCUGCAUGAAACUGAGCCAGGGAGAGGACAGAGGCAGGCAGGGUGGCUGCCACGGUGGCAGGGCUGGACUGGUCUCUGCAGGGCCGCGCAAGUGCCUCCUGCAGCCUGGUACUGCCGUGCUGGGGGUGGGUCUGCAGUGGCAGCGUGGCAUGGGAAGGAUGCCUGCUGAGGAAGCCUUGUGCAGGGUGUGGAGACGCAGCUCAUGCACAACGUGAGGAGUUGGCUGGUGACGAUAAGCCCUUAUGGGACCCUCAAAAUGAGGGUCAUACUUGAAUGAGCUCCCGUUGAGUCUGUGCUGGCUUGAUUGGAUGCUCACUCCUCACCUUGGUCCAUGCCUAUCGGCUCCAAAAUGCUGCACCCACCUAAGGACCUUGCAGAUCUGCUUGCCAGGUUCCCUUCUCCCACUGCCAGCACAAUUUCUGUGCUGUGCUCACCUUUCCAGGGUGACUUGAAACUGUUGCCUCAGUUGCUGGAGGGUCUGGGCAAACAUCUUCUGGAGGAGUUGGACACAAGACCUGAGAUCUGAGGCAGGAAAAGACCUGCAUAUAGCAGAGAGAAGGUAGCAAACAGGAUUGAAAGGAUCUGUGUUUGAAGCUGGUGACACUGAGGAUAAAGGGAGAGGUGGAGACCAAAAAGGAACAGAUGACAAAACCUCCAAGGUAGCUGUACAAGGUGCCAUGAAACCCUGGCCUGGACACAUGGACCUGCAUAAAGCCCUGCUAGUAUGAAGUAAAACCAUCACAACUGGACAAAUGUGAUCCACCAUGAGUUUAUAUCAUUCCCAUCUGCUGAGCUUGGCCUGACCCUGAACAAGGUGACAUAUUUCAGAUUACCAGAGCUCCCAAGUAACUGUCCGUCAGCUGAACCGUCAGUUGGGACUGAUCUGCUGCUCAUGCCACCGGUGCUGUGUGCUAGUCUGAGACCCACAAGAAGGUAGGAGCCCAUUGCAACCACUCUGGAAUACCAGGCUGGGUCUGGGGGUCCAUGUGGGUCCCGUAUCAUGAGGGUCAUGCAAUGAAGUACUCAUAUACAUCCAUGUCUCCAACUUAUUUGAAAAAAUAUGCAAGCAAUAGGAUGGUGCAUAGGCCAUUUCCUUCACUGUCCUCCAUAAACAUAGUUACACUCUUAAUGAAGCCCUCCCAAUAGAAAUUAAUAGAUGAUACCCUCCAUUCCCAGCUUUGGUGUGAGAGCCAGCCCACAGAGGCUCUCCUGGCUCUCCUCUUGCCUUUCUUUAGUCCAAUAUUGUCAUAAUGGCACAAAGCCUUUCUUCCAGCUGUGAACAGGGAUUAUCGUAGCCAAAGCUGCAUUUUACACCAUCAUCUCAAGUAUCAGGACAACCAGCUAAGAACAAUUACUUUCUCCACCUCCGGGCUCUUCCCCUUGUGCUUUUCAGUUAGUUGCACUGAGAAAAUCUGCGUUUCCUAACAAAAGAGCCUUGUUCUCCACUGCUAUUUCAACUAGGAUCGAGUGUCAGUGGUACGCCUGCCUGCUGCGUCCCCUGCAAGUGCUCGGCUCGGGGCCUGCCCUGCCGGAGCAUGGGGUCAGAGAGCUGAUGGGGAUUUUCCCUCUAGCUGCUAUCCCUCCCCUCGUACGUCACCGUGAAUGGGAGCCAGAAAGAGGUGGCCAGAAGCAGCGGUGCCAAGAUGCAACUCCCAGGCAUUACCACUGCUGCUAUUUAUAAUUUCUCCUGUCUGUGGCAUGUUGAUGAGAUAAUAGGAUAGCCGUUUUGCUAGGCAAGCUGUAUUUUUUUUUUUUUUUACCACCGAUAUCUCUUGCUUUGUCAUCAUUUCCUUGCUUUAACAGGAAUCCCCCUUUUUUCAUGAAAUGCCUCACUAAUUCCUAUAAAUAAGAAGGGUGAGGCACAUAUUGGAGCAACUUAAAAUGUUUGCAGUGAAAAGCAGUGUUACAGACCAGAGGUGUACGGACUGGGAGCUGCCCACGACUCACCACGUCAUCACUCUGAAGAGCCAUAUCCAGUGAUGGCAGUAUUUGCAAUUUGAUGGCUCCUCCUUCAUGGGUUGCUGGUGGCCUGAUCCGGAGGGUGCUGGCCCCUUACGCUGACUUCUGCGGGAAUCUUCAUGUGCUUUAUACGGGGCACAUUGUCACUUUGCUGGACAGGGGCUGGAGCGCUCGGUGCGCUGUAUGACAGAGCCUGCCAGGUAGACCUGUCUAGUCAUUAGUUUCUCUGGCAGCAACAGAGAUCAAAACAUUUCUCUAAAAUCCAGUAACAAUCUGGAAGGGAAUGAGAUCCUAUCUGCAGGAGCUUGCCUGGAGAGCUGAAUGGAGAAUUACAGCCCUGUGAAACCAUUUACAGAAGGUGGUGUAUCUCCUAACUGGUGCUUCAGAUUCAAAACCUUAAGAAGAGAGAGGUAAACAGUGAGCCAACGGAUAUUCAGAAGAGGACCAUCCACUGAGGACAAGGAGAGAGGGCAGUCCUGAAAAAUGAGGUCACUGGGAGUGUGCCUAUAUUCAUGCAAGGUCUGUUGCUGAGCCUGAAGCUGUUCCAGUCUGUCACUCUGCCCCAAAACACUGCCUUCUCUUUUGAAAAGCAGAACUAUAAAUUACAGGUGGGCUUGAACCAGAAGCCGGGAUCUCAAAAAUAGCGUAUGUUUCUGGAAACAUCUCAUUCAUGACCAAAAUUUGCUGCUACUCCCUGCUUCACAGUAUCUCAGGACUGAACGUGUGAGGAUGGGCUCAGCUUCCCCCAAAGUUCAAGCUGUGUGGAUCUGGAGACCACUCUUAUUUCACCUGUACAACUACUACUUUAGCCUGAGUCUAACCCAUGUUUGUUUGACAGGCUGAAUUCAAGCUGCUGGUUACAAGCCUACAUCCCAAGAGGUCCUUUCUCUUGGAAGCUGCAGAAUCCUCCCUGCAGACCUGGGCAGCUUGUCCCCCCAAAACAACGUGGGGUGGAAAGUCAUAUUUGGGGUAUGCGACUUAAAAGGGACUUUAAGAAAGUUGUCUCUCCCAACGUUUUGUCCUGUGAUGUCUUGUACCAUGUAGGUGACCACAGCAGUCCAGGACGGCUUAUUUUAUGUGAAAAAGCUGAUUGCUCCUUCCUUGAGCUCUCCUUCAUGCUCCACUUUUUAGACAGUUAAUUGCCAUCCCCAUUCUGUGAGCAGCAAAUCGAUGGCACACAGAUCUCAGAUCACAGCAUUUACUGCUUCUCUGGCUUCCUCCCUGCUGCUUCGCACGCUUCAGAGGUUUUAAAAAGAAGGUAACAGGAGAACAGGGAAGGUUGUCCAGAACUGCUGAUCUCCUUUUGCUGAUCUCAAAAUGGUCAUGUCCUGCAACCCUCAUGGAGAAAGGGAGAAUGCCGCCGCACCUUUUAACUCACUUUAUUUUCCUGGCAGUGCUGCCCCUCUGCUCAGGGGGGGCUGAGGUCUCUUGGGGUCCUGCCAUCCCUGUUCUUGUGGCACAGGGUGGGGGGGUGCUCUUUUUUCUGUGUUAAAAUGCGCAAGAUGAGGGCACCUGAGGACAGCUUCACCUCUAAACCAUAUAGAGCCCUGGAGGGAUGUCCAAGAUUGCUCCCAGUUGGAUGGGAAUAACUGAACUAAGCCUCAGCCUGCUCCCACCAGCCCAGUGGUUCAUCCCCCAGCCAUGUCCCCUCUCUCCGCAGGCUGCCAGUGGCACACAGGGUGGCCGUGUCCCCCGAGCCGGAGCUGGGCUGGGUGUGAGGCAGAGGAGAGGCCGGCGUUGCCGCUGCCGUGGCAGGGUUUCUGGCUGGCUGGAGCUGCCUUUCGAGGGCUGCCAGCUGCACGUGCCCCGUACCGCACUGCCAGGGAGGAGAGGGGAGGAGAGGUGCGGGAGUAUGGCAGCCGUCCCCGUGCACCGCGCUGUGGGUGCCGGGGGGGCCACCACGUUCAUGCCCGUAAUCCCACUACCAGCUCAUGGCCGGUAACUGAAUAACCCCAAGUCAAUUUUUUAACUUUCCCAGCACAAGCUCCUUUUUCAGCAAGAUGACGUGGCCUCCUGGGAGGCUCAGGCACUGACGAAGCAGCCGUCUUGCUGGAUUUCCCCCGCUGCUGCUGACGAAAACCACGGCUUCCUUCCCCGGUGGUGGGUAGGUGCCUCCGGCCCCCUCCCCACCCUCUUCCUUGGGGCAGCCGAGCACCUGUCAUCCUCCCCAGUGCCCCUCCAGCCCCUGGUAGAAAUAACAGGUCCCCAUACCAUUUGCAUUCUCCCGAUCCCUCGCACUGCUCAGGGGAAGGACGAUGGAAAAAGCUGUCCCAGGUGGUAGGUGCUAAACGCACUGAGAGGCCUCAGUGCAGCGCGAGGUCGGGGAAGAGGGUUUCAAGGCUCUUGACAGCAUGCGGCCAUCACACCCGAGCGGCACUUGGGCACUGUCACCGUCGGUCCCACUGUGGGCAGAGAUGUCAGAGCGAUUGGUAGGCACGCGGCUGCCCUCCAUCUCACUUAAAUGCUGAUUUCAUGUUAUGCUGGGGAGCAUAACUGGCUGCUUUUUGAAAGGAUGCUAAUGGCUUUCUGAAAGCAAAUGUUACAUGUGCUCUGUCGAGACAGAGCAGUGCUGCCUUGCUUCUUCUGAGUGGGGGGUGACCCCAAUCAAUAAUUGGCACUGAUUAACCAGGAGGAAGAGGAAAGCUGGCUCAAGUAACAUAACCCUGCUCCCUGAGUACUGGAGCAGAGUGCUUCAGGUCAUGGUGCUCCUCAAUCACAGCCUCAGACACAUGGGGUAAAGCCGUUCCCGGCUGCUUUUAAGUAGGGAGUAAGUGUGAGAGCAUCAGGGCUGGGUGGGGGGUGCUCUGGGGGAGGACGGGAUGGGGAGCAGGGCUGGGGGGGCAGGGUCGGGCAGUGGGACACGGUCGGUGAGACACGGUCACUCCACGGGGAGCUGGCUUGCAGGGCUGCCUUUGGCACAUACCUUAACUCAGUGCUCCCCGGUUCUCAGACAUUUGCACUUUAUUACUUUAAUUCCUCGUUUCCUGGUUUUCAGCAGUCUGACCUGCACAGCGGCGAAGGCAGCACUGCAGCAGCCCCAGGUUUGCUUGGCUGUUUUCGGUGAAGCAUUGCAAACAGAGCCCAGUGCUGCAGUGCAAAACCACAGAGGCUCCUCCGACCACGAGUGCUCAGCCCGGCUCCCAGAAAUCUGAGUUGCCUCUGCAGGUCCAGCCCCAUCUGUUGAGAGGCAUCGGAUCCGCUUUGUGAUAGACUAAGGGCUGGGUAUGCGGUUUUAUUCAGCAGGGAGCUCUGGUGUGUUUUAUCCAGUUGAGAUCGACGGCGUUGCUGGUGGGAAGCGCUGGCUGCGUGGGGGAAUGGGACUUGUACGCACUCUAAAGAGGCUUAUGAAGGAAUAUAGGCAAAUCUUCUGCCCGCCCCAACUGAGAGGCCUUUGAGAGCCCAGUUUUCACCCUUUUUUGGUUGUUCCAGGGCUGGAGUUUUUAAUACAGUAUUUUGUCACUUCAUUAUUCGUAGGAGCAAGACGUAAGGGUACUCUUGAACUCAGAGAGACUUCUAAGCCUUACCUGCAGCAGAAGCCACCUGUACCCAGCACCUCGGCAGAGGCAGCCUGAGACGGCCCCGCGCAGCCCUUCCCCAGCACGCCGGGGGCAAGGCUGCUCGGGGAGAGCUGGGAAGAACAACACGGUGUAUUUGCUGCAGUAUUUUAAGCACAAAGAGAUACCAGGCUAUGAUUAUCUUCCAUAAGGAUGUGAACAGGUGAAACACGGUGUAAUUUAUGAUUCUUAUCUUAACAUUGCGAUGCAUGAGCUGCUAAGGUGGCUGAGGAUUGAGCGUCAGCAGCAGCCUGCAGGUUGGAUUGCAGCAGGCAUCAAAGUCUGAGGGAUGCUCAAGGGCAGGUUCCUCUUGUUCCUCAGAUCUGCACGGCAUUUGGUGAGGUUUAUGUGGAGAUGAACGUCUCACCCACUGUUUUCAGUGGGAGAGCUUGCCCCGGGCUUCCCUGGGAGCGUCAUGGGGAGGUGUGGGUGGGGACCGAGAGCAGGUCGCGAAACAAUCCUCGCACUGCCGUGUGUGCCUCUGUCAGCCUAAUGAAAGCCUAAUAAUUAGGAUUGCCAUUCUCUUUAUUUUUAAUUAUGAGGUAGCGCUUUAUUUUAGAGGGCAAAAGUUACCCUGUAAUUACCUUGUACGAUUACUCAGUUAUUAGCUGGUCUCUGACACUGCAGACACCCGGGAGAGCCCUUGGCAGGGGCUACGUGGGCUGGACGGGACGCCUGGCAAACCGUCCCAUCCUUUUACCCAGACCACGCGCAGACCCCGCGGGGACAAGGACAGCACGAGGCUCCGAGCACGAGCGGACGACCCCUGGCAGCGCGGCACAGCCGCCCAGGAGCCUUUGGCUCCGCUUCCGCGGGCUGCUGAGGCCUCGCCAUCCCGCCUCCCCGGCGCACCCAGCCCGGCUGCUUUCACCGGCGCGGGCACGGACCGGGUCUGCCGGCUCCGAGCGCCGACCGCGGGAGCGGCCUCGCGCCGUAGGGCCUCGCUGAGCACCGCGGCGCACAGCAAUAUGCAAACCGUUGAGCGGCAUCAGCCAAGAAAUUGAUGUGUUUUAAACGAGGAAGAGCGAGCGGAGGAGCGCAGAAGGCUGCUGUGGACGGCCCUGUGCUCCGCAGCCCUGCGGCCCCAGCCUGUGCAGGUACACAGGGCUGUUCCUCCCCAGGGGCAGGAGGUGGCAUUGCCUCAGCCCAGGCAGGUCGCAGCCCUGCCUGCCUCGCUCGGACCUGAAGGACCGAAGGGUUGAUGUGGUCACUGCAGCGAGAGCCAUCGGGGGCUUCCCUGGGCGCGAGGGAGGGGAGCGGUGCGUCGGUGCGGGGAGCCGCUCGGCAGCCACCCAGCUG
Aquila chrysaetos chrysaetos is the source of this 13094-nucleotide long non-coding RNA. RefSeq lists it as uncharacterized. The transcript has 3 exons. Lineage: Eukaryota; Metazoa; Chordata; Aves; Accipitriformes; Accipitridae. The record is from RefSeq and is a predicted model, not a curated record.